AUUCACUCUGCAAUCAAGUCUCCCAUAAAACCACUGGUUUCUCUCCUGCUCAUCGCCAGAUCGUUUCAUCAGUCAACAUUGCUGUGCUCGCUGUACAGACUCGAGCUUUGCCUUCUCCUUGCCUGCCGGUGGACCUGCCUGUUACCGACGCUCACCUCCACGCACUCACCGGUGACUUCGCCUACCCCGCCAGGACCCUGGCACUUUGCACAUCCCUUCACUCGCACUUGUUUUUGCACCUCCGUUUGAACAAUCAAAAACUAUUGUUACACUGUUAACCAGAGUCGAGUUGUGCAUUUGGGUCCUAAUCCAACGCAAACCGUAACACCAGAUUUGUCAACAUGGUCAUACUUAAAUUUAUAUACUUCUCUGUCCGUUUGUUGUAUGCUUGUUGUAUUUUAAUAUGUUGUCUAUUGUAUGCUUGAUGCACUUUAAUAUGGGCAUUCUGCAAUAGAAUCUUGCACUUAUUAGCACUUUAUUAGGAUAUUUCUGCAAAACAAUUCAGUACUUUAUACAAGCAUUUCUUGCAAUACUGCCCAGCACUUUAUUAUGGGCAUCUCUGCAAUACAAUUCAGCAAUUUACUAUAUAAUCCUGCACUUUAUUUCGACCGGGCAUUCUGUGAUAAAAUACAGCUGUACAUAACUUAGCACUUUAUACAGGCAUUUUUGCCCAGCAAUCCAGCACUUUAUUAUGGGCACUCCUGCAAUACAAAUUAGCACUUAGCACUGUAUAAUCCAUGUUCACAAUAGAAUUUCAAUAUUGAGCUAAUUAAUCAUGUGUCAUCCCAAACAUAUAGUCUGUGUUGUUAUGCAUUAUCCCCACUUACUUACCUAGUAAAGAAACUAAUGUCUUUGUCCGAGGCAGCAAAACGGUGGAUGCCGAACUGCUGCCAGCAUAAGGCUCUGGACCUGUCCUCGUAGCUGGCGAAUUUCCUCCUGGAGAGAAACAUUUUCCUCCAGCAUCAAAUUGACGACCGCUGGGUUUGGAGCCGACACGUAGUCAUGGUACAUUGAGACAUCUUCCACUGCAUGGUCAGGUGCGUUAGCCACGCUGUCAUCCUCUGGCAGCGGUCUCUGCCUUCUUUCACAAACCCCUGGCCGUGGAAGUGGAAGGGAGAAAUUGUUCCACUCAAAUAACUCUGGGACAGAUCCCCUUUUCAACAGACGUCAUGCGGUUUCUGAUGCUGGCUCACGGAUGCCUUCUGGUUUAAAAUGCAUGCUACACACCCAGGUGUGAGCAGUGAUCAUAAAUUUGUCCCUGCGGAUCGCAACUAUCCACUUUUGCCUUACCUCCUCAUUGGCAGGAAAAGUGAACAAAGUACAUACUUGCUAGAUGCCUGGCACAAUGGCACACAACAGUGCUCAGCUGUCGUACCAGACAAUCGCUGAUAUUUAAACUUUUUCAUCAUCGAGUUGACCAGCUUAGCCACUACCUACCAAAACAAAGAGGAUGGCCACCGGAAGUGUUCACGCUGGCUGACCUUUAAGCGGAAGUACAUCACCACAACAGUUGGCAUAUAGCCUAUUCUUCAUUCAGCCCACUGUUUGAGGAAUGAGUACAGCAGAAUUCCACUUCAUGGGCAGGAUCAUGGAAGUAGAUCUGGGCAAAGAGGGGUAUUUGACCCCGUUCAGGAAGGGGACUAGCAAUGUAAUGAUAAACUUUCCCUUGUGUUCAUAGGCAUGGGUUGAAGCCAGGAAUAGCAACUUCUCUAAUGCCAAUGCUUGCCA
This is a long non-coding RNA of Acanthopagrus latus (yellowfin seabream), 1728 nucleotides long. RefSeq lists it as uncharacterized. The record is from RefSeq and is a predicted model, not a curated record. The transcript is spliced from 2 exons. Lineage: Eukaryota; Metazoa; Chordata; Actinopteri; Spariformes; Sparidae.